UGGGAGGAGGAGAUCUGUUUCUACGAGGGAGCGAUCUGCGAGGUUUAGGCCGUCUGUGAAGCGAUCUACGAGGCUGAACUCCAUCGAUUAGAUUGUCACUUCUCGAGGUAGGUCUCCUCCACGUUGUGAUUCUACGAUUCGACUCGAAACUUUUUUUUUUUUUGUGCUUUAUAGCUGUGAUCUUUGCUUCAUUGUUUGGAGAAACUGCGCUCUUGUUUCGGACGAAACGUCGAACACUUCCCGCGCAUAAGCUUCUUCUCGUUGUUGCUGUCAAGAAACAGAUCGAAACCCAUAUAGGAGCGAUCAACAUUACGUUGCAAGCUUAACCUUAGUGUAGAUGAUACGAUUGACAUGCUAGAAUAGCAAGGUAACUCGGUUAGAUCAAACAGUUUCAUGUCGACAUGCGGCCAUGAGUACCUCCAAACUUGGCAACGCAUGUGAUUCUUUUGUCCAUUCCUAUCAAUUUCCAUCGUGCACAUGCAGGUUGGAACAUCUUGGCGGCAACGCGAAACUUGCUGUCUCGAUGUCAGCAGACAUCCCCAAGUGUUCGCCAUGUCCGUGAAAAGCGCCGUGGAAGGUGCCAAGGAAACAUAUCAACCAACCAAAGGGCAUGGCCUUACCCUUCCUCUCUUUUCCGACGCAUAAGGACCUCAUAUAGGAGGACCAGGCUCGCUUGUCUUAUUUCAACUCUUUGGUUCUCCCACUGGUUUCCUUGGGGUGGAAGCAUACAGUUUGACCUUAUGGAGUAUAGAUGGUGAAGGCUUUUGUGUCGUCUACAGUCAGAUCUGCUUGCCUGUUGCUGUCUAAUAGUGUAUUCAUUCUGUAUGCUGGUUAGAUAGUCCAUUUUGUCAGGCCAUAGAUUUCAGUCCCCAUUCAAACUUCUCGAGUAUCCAAGACAUGAUCUGAUCAAUACUCUGUCGAUUAUUUGUGGAUGAUUUGAUGUUUUCUUUUGUGGUAAUGAGAUCAAAAGACACACUUUUGUGGCACAUGAAAGCUGAGGAGGCAAAGCUUUUGAUUCAUGUAGUACUAGAUUUCUUCUCAGGACAUUUCUCCAACUCAAACAUCAUCGAACGGACAACUCUUACUUGUCUUUAGGAGCUCCUAGGCAACUUUUGGUGGCUUAGCAAGAGAAAGACUGAAAAAUCCGUAGGAACUGUGAUAUCUGUAAGGACUAAAUUAAGUUCCAGUGCAAACUGUACAACAAUGCCAAGCUAACAUCAGACAAUAGAACCUGCCAAUUUUUGGUGAACAUGAAGAAAUCAUUAAGCUUUCUCUCAGAAGAUAAAUGAAAAGAGUGGGGGAACAAAAUAAAAAUCAGAGGAGAAUAUGGAAAGAAGUACAUUCGUCAUCCAUGAUUCACAGGCUUUAUAAGAGGCUGUUGUGCAGUCUUUCCCCAUUCUUCUGGUGGGCUCUUCACUUCCAUCAGGAAUGCUACCACCUCUUUCAUGGUUGGACGCUCCAAUGGGGAUGAGUUCACGCAGAACAUGGCUAUUCCCAGUGUCUGUAGCAUCUCCUGGAUCAUCUGGUUGGGCAUUCCUUGUAGCUUUGGGUCCAAAAUAUUGAUUGCGGGUUCAAAGCUUGCCAUUUUCUUCUUCACCCAUUCCACUAUGUGAAGACCGUCACCAACCAUUGGCUCGAUGGCGCUUCGCCCGCUUAGAAUCUCUAGGAGGACCACACCGAAGCUGUAUACAUCGCUCUUCUCUGUUAUAUUUGUUGUGUAGCCAUACUCUGUCACAAUGAUCGGCAAAUCAUCAAUAUAUCUACCUCUAGGACUUGAUUUAAGACAGGAAGUAUGAGUAGUAGCAAGUAUAGAUAGUGUUCAGAAGGAUUUGUCAACAGAAGCCUCGUUAAAGUUAUGUCAGAGCUAUGGGUAAAUAAUAACUUUUUUGAGUAUUAAGGAUAAUGAAACUCUCUUAGUCUUGAAACUUGUAAGAUCAACACGAGAGAAUUUGAACUCAAUAGCAGUAAGAACAACAUGACAAUUGACUUAAGAUGUUCUCAUUUAUGCAAAGAACGAAAACUCACCAUAAACAACAUUAAUGGGAACAUCUUAAUUGGAAAACAUACUGAAGCAAAAUUUCAAAGAACUGGCAUCUUAUCGAUGAGAGCUUUACCUGGAGCUAUGUAUCCAUAUGAACCUGCUAUCCUGGACAUGGCAUGGUGGAAGUUCGGUGAACUCAUCAGCUUUGCCAAACCAAAAUCAGCCAAAUAUGCUUCAAAUUUUGAAUCCAACAGUAUAUUGUUACACUUGACAUCCCUGUGAAGGAUGGCUGGGAUGCAGUCAUGAUGGAGAUAUGCUAAACCUUGUGCCGAUCCAAGUGCAAUUCUAUACCUUGUCUCCCAAUCCAAAUUCCUAUUCUCUUGCAAAAGCUGUUGCAGAUUUCCAUUCGAGAUAUAAUUGUAGAGAAGGAGCUUGACACACUUAUUGGAACAAUAACCCAGUAGCUUCACAAUGUUGCGAUGCCUGAUAUGCCCAAGAAUCUGAAUCUCGGACUCAAAUGUGUCGAUCAGUUCCUCUUCCUUCUUUGUUUUCCAAAGCUUCUUCACGGCAAUGAGCUCCCCAUUGGGCAUCUCAGCCUUGUAGACGAUCCCAGAGCAACCUUUUCCAAUUACAUUCUCAUCCUUCAGGCACUGAAGAAUGUUAUCUACUGUAAAGUUUAGCUUCUGGAAUGGGACGAAGGUCCAUGGGUAUGAAAACUCAUCGGAUAUGGAGGAUGAUAUGGUCAG
Molecule: long non-coding RNA, 2727 nt
Filed under: Musa acuminata (dwarf banana)
Lineage: Eukaryota; Viridiplantae; Streptophyta; Magnoliopsida; Zingiberales; Musaceae
Description: long non-coding RNA (MACU_LNC000895)
Source: RNAcentral